CAGCCCAGAAAGAGAAAGAAUUGCAACUUCCUGCAGGAGUUGAAGAGCCCAUAACCAGGGACAGAAAACCCCAGAAGAGAUGCUUCAGUGGAGGACAUGCUAACUGGGGAUGGUGUGGAGCUGGACAGUUAGGUUGCCGAAUUCGAGGUGCCCCAGGAUGUGACCUAUGCCAAGCUGUGCAGUAGGACACUGAGACAGGGGACAGCUGCACCUCCUCUCUCUCAGACAGAGGAAGCCCCAGAAGAGCCAACUGUAUAUGCUGCUCUAGCGACUGGUUUUCCGGGGACUGUUCCAAAGUACAAGGAGCAAUGACCCUCUGCCUGCCAGGAUGACUAACAGAGACCUCCAAGGGACUCUGGGAACUUUUGGAAACCUGA
Grammomys surdaster is the source of this 377-nucleotide long non-coding RNA. RefSeq lists it as uncharacterized. The transcript is spliced from 3 exons. The record is from RefSeq and is a predicted model, not a curated record. NCBI's taxonomy places the organism in Eukaryota, Metazoa, Chordata, Mammalia, Rodentia, Muridae.